UACGGGGGGAGCAAGCGUUGUUUGGAUUUACUGGGCGUAAAGGGCGCGUAGGCGGCCACCGCAAGUCGGUUGUGAAAUCUCCGGGCUUAACCCGGAAAGGUCAACCGAUACUGCGGGGCUAGAGUGCAGAAGGGGCAACUGGAAUUCUCGGUGUAGCGGUGAAAUGCGUAGAUAUCGAGAGGAACACCUGCGGCGAAGGCGGGUUGCUGGGCUGACACUGACGCUGAGGCGCGAAAGCUAGGGGAGCGAACGGG
Molecule: ribosomal RNA, 254 nt
Filed under: uncultured bacterium
Lineage: Bacteria
Description: partial 16S ribosomal RNA
Rfam family: Bacterial small subunit ribosomal RNA
Source: RNAcentral